Molecule: ribosomal RNA, 253 nt
Filed under: uncultured bacterium
Lineage: Bacteria
Description: partial 16S ribosomal RNA
Rfam family: Bacterial small subunit ribosomal RNA
Source: RNAcentral
UACGUAGGUGGCAAGCGUUAUCCGGAAUUAUUGGGCGUAAAGCGCGCGCAGGUGGUUUCUUAAGUCUGAUGUGAAAGCCCGGGGCUCAACCCCGGGAGGCGGGUGGAUACUGCUCAGCUCGAGUCCGGAAGAGGAGUGUGGAAUUCCUGGUGUAGCGGUGAAAUGCGCAGAUAUCAGGAGGAACACCAAUGGCGAAGGCAGCACUCUGGGACGGUACUGACGCUGAGAAGCGAAAGCGUGGGGAGCGAACAGG